Molecule: ribosomal RNA, 253 nt
Filed under: uncultured bacterium
Lineage: Bacteria
Description: partial 16S ribosomal RNA
Rfam family: Bacterial small subunit ribosomal RNA
Source: RNAcentral
UACGUAGGGGGCUAGCGUUGUUCGGAAUUACUGGGCGUAAAGCGUGCGCAGGCGGCUUCUCAAGUCAGGGGUGAAAGCCCAGAGCUCAACUCUGGAAUUGCCUUUGAGACUGAGUGGCUUGAGUACGGGAGAGGUGAGUGGAAUUCCCAGUGUAGAGGUGAAAUUCGUAGAUAUUGGGAAGAACACCGGUGGCGAAGGCGGCUCACUGGCCCGUAACUGACGCUCAUGCACGACAGCGUGGGGAGCAAACAGG